GACGAACGCUGGCGGCGUGCUUAACACAUGCAAGUCGAACGGAAAGGCCCUGCUUUUGUGCGGCGCUCGAGUGGCGAACGGGUGAGUAACACGCGAGUAACCUGCCCUUGACUUUGGGAUAUCUUCAGGAAACUGGGGCUAAUACCGGGUAUGAGCUCCUGCUGCAUGGUGGGGGAUGGAAAGUUUCGGCGGUUGGGGAUGGACUCGCGGCUUAUCAGCUUGCUGGUGGGGUAGUGGCUUACCAAGGCUUUGACGGGUAGCCGGCCUGAGAGGGUGACCGGCCACAAUGGGACUGGGGUACGGCCCAGACUCCUACGGGAGGCAGCAGUGGAGAAUAUUGCACAAUAGGCGGAAGCCAGAUGCAGCAGCGCCGGGUGCGGGAUAACGGCCUUCGUGUUGUGAUCCGCUUUCGCCUGUGACAAAGCGUGAGUGACGGUAAUGAGUAAAGAGGCACCGGCUAACUACGUG
This 468-nucleotide ribosomal RNA is filed under the name uncultured bacterium. RNAcentral describes it as "partial 16S ribosomal RNA". It matches the Rfam family "Bacterial small subunit ribosomal RNA", at positions 28 to 507 of the family's 1533-position model. The record is from RNAcentral.